Molecule: non-coding RNA, 1032 nt
Filed under: Pongo abelii (Sumatran orangutan)
Lineage: Eukaryota; Metazoa; Chordata; Mammalia; Primates; Hominidae
Source: RNAcentral
CUUCAGGAUUCUCAGGCUUCCCUCCGGGAGACUUUUCUCCAGUCUUGUCUCGCUCCAACCUCCUACCCCCACCCCAUUCCUCAGUGCAUUCGUGAAUUUCUCCAAGCAGGCCUUUCCAGAUCGACACUAAGUUCCAAUCCCGAGCUGUGUGACCCAGCACCAAUUCAGUCACGAUGAUGACUUGCGAUUGCUUAAUCAGUUUGCCUUUCCUCCUAGCUGUGAGGUUUACUGUGCAGGAUUGCAAACACCAGAGAGAAAAUCAGUCUCUGGAUUGAUGCCUUUGAUGGACCAAGAUGCAGCUGAUGAAGCAUUGAACCAAUUAGCACCUAGCAGGAGGGCACCCUUGGUCUGUGUCCUUGAAGGUUAAAGCUGUCAAAAAGUGGUCUCCCUCAAGUUCGGCCAUCUUGCUCUCAGAGAUCUAGAACUGGUAGGAGAAUAUAGCCUUGAUAGUGGAGAGGAGACUAUUGCUGUUGUGAGGGACUGAGAGAACCAGGCAGAGAGCCCAGAUUGACACAGCAGGUGAGAAAAGAGGCGCGCCUAUCUUGGGGAAUACGGAGGAACGGAGGAAGGUGAGACCAGGAGAAAGAGCAGGGGGGCGGGUGAGCAGGCCGGGCGCCGUGGCUCACGCCUGUAAUCCCAGCACUUUGGGAGGCCCAGGCAGGCGGAUCACAAGGUCAGGAGUUCGAGACCAGCCUGGCCAAUAUGGUGAAACCCUGUCUCUACUAAAAAUACAAAAAUUAGCUGGGCGUGGUGGCGGGUGCCUGUAGUCCCAGCUACUCGGAAGGCUGAGGCAGGAGAAUCGCUUGAACCCGGAACCCGGGAGGCAGAGGUUGCGGUGAGCCGAGAUGGCGCCAUUGCACUCUAGCCUGGGCGACGGACUGAGACUUCGUCUCAAAAAAGGGAGUGACUAUGUUGCUUUUGCUUUCUUGGAAGUCUUUUUUCUUAGUAAUUUUCCUAAAGUAAUUUCCUUAGGAAAUAAUGUAUUGCUAAGAGUAUUGCAACUUUUAGUAUUGACGAGGUGCUUUUACUGAA